This 694-nucleotide ribosomal RNA is filed under the name uncultured bacterium. RNAcentral's name for it is "bacterial SSU rRNA". It matches the Rfam family "Bacterial small subunit ribosomal RNA", at positions 742 to 1435 of the family's 1533-position model. The record is from RNAcentral.
GACACUGAGGUUCGAAAGCGUGGGUAGCAAACAGGAUUAGAUACCCUGGUAGUCCACGCCGUAAACGAUGUCUACUAGUCGUUGGGUCCCUUGAGGACUUAGUGACGCAGCUAACGCAAUAAGUAGACCGCCUGGGGAGUACGGCCGCAAGGUUAAAACUCAAAUGAAUUGACGGGGGCCCGCACAAGCGGUGGAGCAUGUGGUUUAAUUCGAUGCAACGCGAAGAACCUUACCUGGUCUUGACAUACACAGAAUCUUGUAGAGAUACGAGAGUGCCUUCGGGAAUUGUGAUACAGGUGCUGCAUGGCUGUCGUCAGCUCGUGUCGUGAGAUGUUGGGUUAAGUCCCGCAACGAGCGCAACCCUUGUCCUUAGUUACCAGCGGGUUAAGCCGGGAACUCUAAGGAUACUGCCAGUGACAAACUGGAGGAAGGCGGGGACGACGUCAAGUCAUCAUGGCCCUUACGACCAGGGCUACACACGUGCUACAAUGGUAGGUACAGAGGGCAGCUACACAGCGAUGUGAUGCGAAUCUUUCAAAGCCUAUCGUAGUCCAGAUUGGAGUCUGCAACUCGACUCCAUGAAGUAGGAAUCGCUAGUAAUCGCGGAUCAGAAUGCCGCGGUGAAUACGUUCCCGGGCCUUGUACACACCGCCCGUCACACCAUGGGAGUUGAUUGCACCAGAAGUGGUUAGCC